This 81-nucleotide transfer RNA is filed under the name Dendronephthya gigantea. RNAcentral describes it as "tRNA-Ser". It matches the Rfam family "tRNA". Rfam says of the family: Transfer RNA (tRNA) molecules are approximately 80 nucleotides in length. The record is from RNAcentral. Lineage: Eukaryota; Metazoa; Cnidaria; Anthozoa; Malacalcyonacea; Nephtheidae.
GUAGUCGUGGCCGGGUGGUUAAGGCGACAGACUUGAAAUCUGUUGGGAUAUUCCGCGCAGGUUCAAAUCCUGCCGACUACG